Molecule: transfer-messenger RNA, 369 nt
Filed under: Isoptericola sp. 178
Lineage: Bacteria; Bacillati; Actinomycetota; Actinomycetes; Micrococcales; Promicromonosporaceae
Also listed under: 1 other name
Rfam family: transfer-messenger RNA
About the family: Bacterial tmRNA, also known as 10Sa RNA or SsrA, is named for its dual tRNA and mRNA-like properties. Its role is to liberate the mRNA from a stalled ribosome. To accomplish this part of the tmRNA is used as a reading frame that ends in a translation stop signal.
Source: RNAcentral
GGGGCUGAUCGGUUUCGACGGUGGUCGUGCUUCCAGGGGAAGCGGGCCGAGGAUGCAGUGCUCAUCUCGUUAACGCUUGCCUGCAAACCUAUAGGUGCCGAUAACAAGCGCACCGACUUCGCCCUCGCCGCCUGAGCGAGCUCCGAAGUCCGUGAGCCCGGGAGCGCUCUCGACCCGGUAGCUCACGUCAUCUAGAGAGCCACUGCUCGUCGCCCUCGUCAUCGGGGCGACGGGGACUUCCAGAUGACUGGGCCCGUCCGCACCUUGUCUGCGUGAGUGCGGGGGCCGAGAAAAUCGCAGCAGACUGCGCCCGGAGAAGCCCUGGAAAAGCGCUACCGGACCCGGGUUCGAUUCCCGGCAGCUCCACUC